CGUUUAUUUAUUUUUGAAAGACAGAGAGACAGAGCACAAGCAGAGAGAGAAAGAGAUACAGAAUCCGAAGCAGGCUCCAGGCUCUGAGCUGUCUGCACAGAGACCAACAUGGGGCUCAAACCGUGAGAUCAUGACCUGAGCCAAAGUUGGCUGCUUAACUGACUGAGCCACCCAGACGCCCCUCCUCUUAGUUUUUAAAAUCAAAAACAAAUGGAGACCCGCCUUGAAAAUUCCCUGAGCAUACAAAACCAGUUUAAUUCUACAAACAAAGCUUAAUUUAACUUUAAGUUAGCAAGACUAACUUGACCUGAGUUGUUUUUUGCUUUUGCCUCUGGAAAUCAUAAGCAAAAUUCACCUUUUCCCAAGGUUGAUAUGAGGUAGCCACUGGCCAUCUCCCUAUCAUUUAAGAAAAGUUUAAUGUUAUAACAAAUCCCUGUGAACAGUCUCUGCUUUCUUACUAUAUAAGCAGCUUUAUAACAACAUAACCUUGAGCCUCAUUCCAUAUUUUGGUUUGAGUGCUCCUGGUUUGCAAACUGUCUUUUUGGUGUGUGUAUAACACACCUAUGAUCCAUUGGUUUUCCUUCCAUUAUUUUUGAACUUUUGACAUUUCAUGUCAUCAGAAGUGGAGCCCAAAGAAGACCUCUAACAAUUUUGAAACCGGUGAGCCAGCAGGUGCUGGUACCCACAGAGCCCACUGAGCUCACUACUUUCUCAUCCACCCUGGAGCUUGAGGGUAAGUCUAUCUUGGAUCCAAACUCCACUCUCUGUGUUUUGAGCUCUGCAACUUUAUUGUGCAUACCUGCAUUUGAUUUGUUGAAGCUUCUCGGUCAGUCACCCUAUUGUGUUCAGAAGUGGGGAGGAGGGGAAUACACGAUUCCCUGUGUUUUGGAACAAAUAUUGGAAAAUACGGCACCUCAUAGUUAGGAUGUCUUAUGAAAUCUAAAGCAAAGAUGAUUUCCCCCUGAUCUAUGAGCCACGAUCUUGAGCCAUUUUGGAAAAUGGCUGAACUUUUGGAAUCAUUGUGAAAUCUUUCACUCAGAUAAGUCCACCUUAAGGGGAUACCCUUAAAAGAGAUGAUUCCAAACCCCUCAGAGACAGUAAAAUGCAUUUUUAAUUGAUAUGUAGAAGCUUCUAAAUGACAAAGACUCUGAAAACAGCUCUAAAAGGAUUCUCACAGCAUGCAAAUAAAAAAUCUUUAGUAAAAACUCUCUGGCCAUCUGAGCAGAUAGCCUUAACUUAGUCCAGCUGCCAGAAACACAAUUUUGAUCCAACUAUUCUUUUGAGUUCUGUACCUGAGACAUGGUUAAAAUAUUUUUUUUAAAGUUGUAAGAUCUCUGUGUCUGCCUGUAUGUUCAUGUAUGUCCAUGUAUGUAUGUGAUAUGUUUCUAUCUCCAGGUGAUACUGCCAAAAUUAAUUUGUAAAAAGCUCUGUUUAAUUGGCUUAAAGAAAAUCAAGCAUUUAUACAAAUCAAGUAUGCUCUCAGAAAUAUGGAAAGUAAUCCAAACGUUUUUCAAGUUCAUGUGAUUUGAGAUAAUCUUUGAUAAAUGAAAGCCGGUUUACGUUUAUUGGUUUAAUAAAAGCAGGCCUGUCUUCAAAAUUUGUCAACAAGAAAAAUAAGUUAAGGUGAUUAGUUGUUUAAUGUCUAAUCUAAGCAUAAUCGUUAAAAGCAAGUAAUUUAAACAAAUAUAUAGCUUAUACUAAGGUAAACUAAAUAAUGGAUAUUCAUUGAAUAUAUAAAUCAUCUCCAAAUAAGAUAAGCAUUCAAUGCUAAGUGUAAGUUUAUCUACUUUUGGCUUUUUUCUAAUUUUUUACAGAAAGACAAAAUAUAUUUGGGUUUAUUAACCAUGUUUCGUGCCACAUUUAAAAAGUACCAUGAGGGGGCGCCUGGGUGGCUCAGUUGGUUAAGUAUCCAUCUCAGGCUUAGGUCAUGAUCUCACAGUUUGUGAGUUCAAGCCCCGCAUCAGGCUCUGUGUUGACGGCUCAGAGCCUGGAGCCUCCUUCAGAUUCUGUGUCUCCCUCACUCUCUGCCACUCCCCAGCUUGCACUCUGUCUCUCUCUCUCUUUCUCUCUCUCUCAAAAUAAAUGAACAUUAAAAACAAAAGUUACCAUGAGGAAGAAUAUGCUUCUAGAAAUUAUGAAAUGUGUUUAUCAAUUUUCUAGUCCAAUAAUUGCUUACUUCUUAGUUUAAACUAGGAAUUAAGGAUUCUAAGGGUUAAGAAUUUUGAUAAAUAUAUGUAAUUAAAACUACUAGAAAUAAUAAGGUUGAAAAAACAACUGUCUAUGGAAAGCAGAAAGGUAAGAAAAAUAGAAUGUGUUUUGGAUAAGGAAAGGCAUGAAGGACGUGGGGUGUUUUUUUUUUGUUUUUUUUGUUUUUUUUUUGUUUUUUUUUGCUUUGGGUUUUGGUUGUUUUGUUUUGUUAAGAGAAAAAAGAAAGUAAGUUUGUCCUAGAGUAAAAUGAUUAUUCCUAAUUAAGAAAGGAAAAAAAUAAGAAAAAACCUAAAUGGAUAGAGAAAAUUGUGUAAGUUGUGGACAAGGAAUCUUGAGAAGGGAAUUUUAGGUGUGGUCAAGCUGAUUAAGAUUGAAAUGGAUUUAUUUAUGUUAAAAAAAUGGAGAGUUUUAAUAUCAAAAGUACACUGAAGCAGAAUCAGAAUUUAGUUUUCUCUCUAUUAAAAGGACAAAAGUUUCUUAGAUUAUUGGUCUGCUCUUUUUUUAAAAAAAUUUUUUAAUGUUUAUUUAUUUUUGAGAAAGAGACAGAGUGCAAGUGGUGGGGGCAGGGGGGCGGUGGCAAAGAGAUGUGGAGACACAGGAUCUGAAGCAGGCUCCAGGCUCUAAGCUGCACAGAGUCCGACGCAGGGCUCGAACUCACAAACUGUGAAAUCAUGACCUGAACUGAAGUCAGAUGCUUAACCAACUAAGCCACCCAGGCGCCCCUGUUCUGCUCUUAAUAAAAAUUAUAAACAAAGAUUUUUCUUUACCUUUAAUGUAAUCUGUCUAGAAAACAAAGAUUCUGUGUUUUGUCUUUAUAAAGUCUUUGAUCAUUUAGGAAAGAACCCAGUCUUCUCUAUUAAAAGAGCUAGGUUUUUGUUGUUGUUUUACAAGGAUGUAACUUCCGGUAUUUGCUUUUUAAAUUUUUUUAAUGUUUUAUUUUAUUUUUGAAACAGAGAGCAUGAGCGGUGGAGGGCAGAGAGAGAGAAAAACACAGAACCCAAAGCAGGCUCCAGGCUCUGAGCUGUCAGCACACAGCCCCACACUGGACUCGAACUCGUCAACUGUGAGAUCAUGACCUGAGCCGAGGUCAGGCACUCAACUGACUGAGCCACCCAGGUGUUUUUUAAAUCUUUUAUCACUUUGGUUUAAUGGGUAACUAAAUAUUGUAUCACAGUGAUCUAUGAUUGUAUUUUAUCAAAUAAUAAUUUGUCUUUUGACAUUUGUAACAAACUUCCCCAGAUGAAAUUCUGAAUAAAGUAGUAAGAGAAAUGUUAAUUUCUUUGGUCAUUUGAGAUGUUAAAUUACAUGGGAAGCAUGGUCAAAUAAGAAGCGAUGCUGAACUUUCUUUAGCUUAUACUUAUAUAUGUUAAUAUAAGUGUUCCAGAGAUUGUAUGAAAUUCCUAAAAAUCCGAUGUGUUCUGGUAUAACGUUAUCAGCCAUGAUUUUUAAAUGUAUGUCACAAAAAGAACCAAAUUUAGUUGUCAAUUUCAUCAUUGUCUUUGUUUGUGUAUGUGAACUCUU
RNAcentral lists this long non-coding RNA (3729 nucleotides) under Lynx pardinus (Iberian lynx). The record is from RNAcentral. Lineage: Eukaryota; Metazoa; Chordata; Mammalia; Carnivora; Felidae.